CCUGGCUCAGAUUGAACGCUGGCGGCAUGCCUUACACAUGCAAGUCGAACGGCAGCACGGGAGCAAUCCUGGUGGCGAGUGGCGAACGGGUGAGUAACAUAUCGGAACGUGCCCAGUAGUGGGGGAUAACCCGGCGAAAGCCGGACUAAUACCGCAUACGACCUACGGGUGAAAGCAGGGGAUCGCAAGACCUUGCGCUAUCGGAGCGGCCGAUAUCAGAUUAGCUUGUUGGUGGGGUAAAAGCCUACCAAGGCGACGAUCUGUAGCUGGUCUGAGAGGACGACCAGCCACACUGGGACUGAGACACGGCCCAGACUCCUACGGGAGGCAGCAGUGGGGAAUUUUGGACAAUGGGCGCAAGCCUGAUCCAGCCAUGCCGCGUGCGGGAAGAAGGCCUCGG
RNAcentral lists this ribosomal RNA (400 nucleotides) under uncultured bacterium. Its description in RNAcentral is "bacterial SSU rRNA". It matches the Rfam family "Bacterial small subunit ribosomal RNA", at positions 18 to 420 of the family's 1533-position model. The record is from RNAcentral.